RNAcentral lists this ribosomal RNA (557 nucleotides) under Lipomyces starkeyi. RNAcentral's name for it is "partial 26S ribosomal RNA". It matches the Rfam family "Eukaryotic large subunit ribosomal RNA", at positions 71 to 647 of the family's 3401-position model. The record is from RNAcentral. Lineage: Eukaryota; Fungi; Ascomycota; Lipomycetes; Lipomycetales; Lipomycetaceae.
GGGAUUGCCUUAGUAACUGCGAGUGAAGCGGCAAGAGCUCAAAUUUGAAAUCUGGCACCUUCGGUGUCCGAGUUGUAAUUUGUAGAAGCAUCUUUUGGAUUGGUCCUUGCAUAUGUUCCUUGGAACAGGACAUCAUAGAGGGUGAGAAUCCCGUUCAUGGUGGGGAAUCCAAUUCUUUGUAAAGUGCUUUCGAAGAGUCGAGUUGUUUGGGAAUGCAGCUCUAAGUGGGUGGUAAAUUCCAUCUAAAGCUAAAUAUUGGCGAGAGACCGAUAGCGAACAAGUACAGUGAUGGAAAGAUGAAAAGAACUCCGAAAGGAGAGUGAAAAAGGACGUGAAAUUGUUGAAAGGGAAGUGCUUGAGAUCAGUCUUAAGGUUUAGUGAUCAGUCUUCCUUUUGGUUGGUGCACUCACUAUUUCUUAGGCCAACAUCAGUUUUGGCGGCAGGAUAAUGACAUUGGAAUGUGGCUCUUUCGGGAGUGUUAUAGCCUUUGUUGAUACUGCCUGCUUAGACUGAGGACUGCGCUUUUGCUAGGAUGUUGGCAUAAUGAUCUUAAGCAG